GGGAUGACGUCAAAUCAGCACGGCCCUUAUGUCCGGGCGACACACGUGUUACAGUGGGAGGUACAGAGGGCAGCCAGUUAGUGAUAACGCGCCAAUCUCAAAAACCUCUCUCAGUUCGGAUUGGAGUCUGCAACUCGACUCCAUGAAGUUGGAUUCGCUAGUAAUCGCGCAUCAGCCAUGGCGCGGUGAAUACGUUCCCGGGCCUUGUACACACCGCCCGUCAAGCCAUGGAAGCUUGGAGUGCCUAAAGUUCGUAACCGUAAGGAGCGACCUAGGCA
This 278-nucleotide ribosomal RNA is filed under the name uncultured bacterium. RNAcentral's name for it is "partial 16S ribosomal RNA". It matches the Rfam family "Bacterial small subunit ribosomal RNA", at positions 1176 to 1464 of the family's 1533-position model. The record is from RNAcentral.